RNAcentral lists this ribosomal RNA (497 nucleotides) under uncultured bacterium. RNAcentral describes it as "partial 16S ribosomal RNA". It matches the Rfam family "Bacterial small subunit ribosomal RNA", at positions 28 to 507 of the family's 1533-position model. The record is from RNAcentral.
GAUGAACGCUGGCGGCGUGCCUAAUACAUGCAAGUCGAGCGAACGGACGAGAAGCUUGCUUCUCUGAUGUUAUCGGCGGACGGGUGAGUAACUUGUGUAUAACCUACCUAUAAGACUGGGAUAACUUCGGGAAACCGGAGCUAAUACCGGAUAAUAUUUUGAACCGCAUGGUUCAAUAGUGAAAUACGGUCUUGCUGUCACUUAUAGAUUGAUCCGCGCUGCAUUAGCUAGUUGGUAAGGUAACGGCUUACCAAGGCAACGAUGCAUAGGCGACCUGAGCGGGUGAUUCCAUAGACUGUAACUGAGGCACGGUCCAGACUCCUACGGGAGGAAGCAGUAGGGACUCUUCCGCAAUGGACGAAAGCCUGACGGAGCAACACCGCGGGAGUGAUGAAGGUCUUAGGAUCGUAAAACUCUGUUAUUAGGGAAGAACAUAUGUGUAAGUAACUGUGCACAUAUUGACGGUACCUAAUCAGAAAGCCACGGCUAACUACGUG